CCGAGUUAGGGUGUCGUCCUCGACGCCCGACCUCCUAAACCCACUGUUUACCUGACCUUAUCGUUGCUUCGGCAGGCCCGCCCAUAUCGGGCCGCCGGGGGGUUGGCUCACCGCCCUCCCUGGCCCGCGCCUGCCGACGGCCCCCCCACAAAACUCUUGUUGAUAAACGUGUCGUCUGAGUUUUCGGCCAUCGAUGGAUGGUUUAAAUACAAACAUA
This 217-nucleotide unclassified non-coding RNA is filed under the name uncultured Xenobotrytis. RNAcentral describes it as "sequence contains ITS1". The record is from RNAcentral. Lineage: Eukaryota; Fungi; Ascomycota.